UACGAAGGGUGCAAGCGUUACUCGGAAUUACUGGGCGUAAAGCGUGCGUAGGUGGUUUGUUAAGUCUGAUGUGAAAGCCCUGGGCUCAACCUGGGAAUUGCAUUGGAUACUGGCAGGCUAGAGUGCGGUAGAGGGUAGUGGAAUUCCCGGUGUAGCAGUGAAAUGCGUAGAGAUCGGGAGGAACAUCUGUGGCGAAGGCGACUACCUGGACCAGCACUGACACUGAGGCACGAAAGCGUGGGGAGCAAACAGGG
RNAcentral lists this ribosomal RNA (254 nucleotides) under uncultured bacterium. RNAcentral describes it as "partial 16S ribosomal RNA". It matches the Rfam family "Bacterial small subunit ribosomal RNA", at positions 524 to 777 of the family's 1533-position model. The record is from RNAcentral.